AAAGUUGUUGCGGUUAAAAAGCUCGUAGUCGGAGGUGUGUCUCGGACGGUCGGUUCGCCGCUUGUCGGUGCUCAACUGGCCGGUCCGGACGUCCUGCCGGUGGGGCCGCGAGGCUCCGUUAUCCUUCUUUGGUCCUCUUCACCGAGUGCCUUGGUGGGCCGGCACGUUUACUUUGAACAAAUUAGAGUGCUCAAAGCAGGCCGUUGGUCGCCUGAAUACUGUGUGCAUGGAAUAAUGGAAUAGGACCUCGGUUCCAUUUUGUUGGUUUUCAGAACUCGAGGUAAUGAUUAAUAGGGACGGACGGGGGCAUUCGUAUUGCGACGUUAGAGGUGAAAUUCUUGGAUCGUCGCAAGACGAACCGAUGCGAAAGCAUUUGCCAAGAACGUUUUCGUUGAUCAAGAACGAAAGUUAGAGGUUCGAAGGCGAUCAGAUACCGCCCUAGUUCUAACCAUAAACGAUGCCAGCUAGCCAUCCGCCGAAGUUCCUUCUAUGACUCGGCGGGCAGCUUCCGGGAAACCAAAGCUCUUGGGUUCCGGGGGAAGUAUGGUUGCAAAGCUCAAACUUAAAGGAAUNGNCGGA
This 579-nucleotide ribosomal RNA is filed under the name Copera marginipes. RNAcentral describes it as "SSU rRNA". It matches the Rfam family "Eukaryotic small subunit ribosomal RNA", at positions 606 to 1160 of the family's 1831-position model. The record is from RNAcentral. Lineage: Eukaryota; Metazoa; Arthropoda; Insecta; Odonata; Platycnemididae.